Molecule: ribosomal RNA, 440 nt
Filed under: uncultured bacterium
Lineage: Bacteria
Description: partial 16S ribosomal RNA
Rfam family: Bacterial small subunit ribosomal RNA
Source: RNAcentral
CCUACGGGCGGCAGCAGUAGGGAAUAUUGCUCAAUGGGGGAAACCCUGAAGCAGCAACGCCGCGUGGAGGAUGAAGGUUUUAGGAUUGUAAACUCCUUUUGUUAGAGAAGAUAAUGACGGUAUCUAACGAAUAAGCACCGGCUAACUCCGUGACAGCAGCCGCGGUAAUACGGAGGGUGGAAGCGUUACUCGGAAUCACUGGGCGGAAAGAGCGCGUAGGCGGGAUAGCAAGUCAGAUGUGAAAUCCUAUGGCUUAACCAUAGAACUGCAUUUGAAACUGUUAUUCUAGAGUAUGGGAGAGGUAGGUGGAAUUCUUGGUGUAGGGGUAAAAUCCGUAGAGAUCAAGAGGAAUACUCAUUGCGAAGGCGACCUGCUAGAACAUAACUGACGCUGAUGCGCGAAAGCGUGGGGAGCAAACAGGAUUAGAUACCCUUGUAGUC